UACAGAGGGUGCAAGCGUUGUUCGGAAUCAUUGGGCGUAAAGCGCACGUAGGCGGCUUAUUAAGUCGGGUGUGAAAUCCCUGGGCUCAACCUAGGACGUGCACCUGAAACUGGUAGCUUGAGUCUCGGAGAGGUUGGUGGAAUUCCCAGUGUAGAGGUGAAAUUCGUAGAUAUUGGGAGGAACACCGGUGGCGAAGGCGGCCAACUGGACGAAGACUGACGCUGAGGUGCGAAAGCGUGGGGAGUCAAACAGG
This 253-nucleotide ribosomal RNA is filed under the name uncultured bacterium. RNAcentral describes it as "partial 16S ribosomal RNA". It matches the Rfam family "Bacterial small subunit ribosomal RNA", at positions 524 to 776 of the family's 1533-position model. The record is from RNAcentral.